Molecule: long non-coding RNA, 1354 nt
Filed under: Cricetulus griseus (Chinese hamster)
Lineage: Eukaryota; Metazoa; Chordata; Mammalia; Rodentia; Cricetidae
Description: lncRNA (ENSCGRG00015029278.1)
Source: RNAcentral
GCCAGCUUGUGCCUGUGAGAUAAGCAGCGCCCGCCGGGAAAUGUAGUCCUCUGGCUGAGGAGCGCUGUCACUCUGAGGCGUGAGACAGAGCCUCGCUAUUUGCUCUUGUUGUCCUGGAACUUACAAUGCAGACAAGGCUGGCCUUAAACCCACAGAGAUUUGCCUGCCUCUGCCUCCUGAAUGCUUGGAUUAAAGGUAUCUUGACUGCCGGGUCCUCCUGCAAGGAGAAUGAGAUGGAACUUGAGGGAGAACGGCCAAGAGUCUGAACUCCAGGAGAUGGUGAAACGCAGCUCGGGAGGAUGAAGCCAGCUGCCCUGGAUUUCAUAGCUCUAAGUGAUGGAGACACAUGUCAAAAGCACAGGAUCUGCUUCCUGUAGCAGGAGCCGGGAAGAUUAUGCCAUAGAUACUGUAGAAGCAAGACAUUUCAUCACAUCCAGGUGAAAACACCAAAUUCACCCCAUCUAACAAAAGCCUGGAGUGGGGGUGGGGGCAUAACGAGAGUGGUAAUAGUGAGGUCAAUGAGGACUGGACCUUGCUUCAGAAAACCUUCCUGCUUCCUGUCUCAUUUGGGAGAUGAUAACCAUAGCUACAUUUACUGAGUAGUGUGACCAAUUGUCACACAAAACACUCAUCGAUGGAUCCCAUACCUUCUUUAGUCCUUACAACCCUUUAAGAAAGCCCUGGUACCCUUUUGAAGCUAAGGAAAGGGUUUGGAAGAUUUGGACGCCACUGAAACCACUCAAAUACCCGCUGCCUAAGAAACCAAAUAGUUGAGGUUUGCACAUCUGGAAGGCCUAGCAUUCCUCCUCGUGAGGACCUCAUUCAAGCCUUAGGGCGGCUUCAGCUGAUGUCUGGUCCAGUGGGGGCUGCCUCCGGAGCAGAGGUUCCAUCCUGAAGCUCAGUGCAUCUUGGGGAGGCGACAUUUCUACCCAGGACUUGCUUGAAAACAUCACUGGGGGUUAUAAGAAGUACUUCGACUUGCAGAAAAGACAACAGUAUAUCCAAAUACUGCCAAAUGCCUGGGAGCAACUGAAGAAAUCAGAACUGAAUCUCCUGAUGCAAAUACCAAUGGAGGGAGAAGACCAGAGUGACACCAGGAAGGGGACCCAGGGCGAGUUGUGGGAUGCUAAUAUAAUGUUUCUUCAUUUUGGUGCAACCUAAUUUCAUGUAUUCACUUUGUUAGAUGUUCACUGAGUCAAACCUUAUGUUUUCCAUAGAUCCCCCUUUAUAUGUGAACUUUCAACUUUUUAUUUCCCUUACUGUGAGAUAACCAAACACCUUCCAAACAAAGCAUGUCAUGUUUCACUUUCAAGGACUACGGAUAUUAUCAAAUGUGUAAAAAAAAAAACAAAAC